Molecule: long non-coding RNA, 1589 nt
Organism: Anguilla rostrata (American eel)
Lineage: Eukaryota; Metazoa; Chordata; Actinopteri; Anguilliformes; Anguillidae
Exons: 3
Source: RefSeq, a predicted model, not a curated record
AGAAUACAGAAUACAGAGUACAGCGCAGAAUACAGGCUACUUCUCCCAGAAUCCUCCCAGCGUCAUUGCACUUGCCAGGUUUACUAAUCACCAGUAUGUUGUUGUUUUUUUUCCAGCAAUACUAUUGAAAGGCUACAUCAUGUUUCAUAUGUGUUUAUUUUUCAAAUAGAUAUAUUAAAGUUACUGUGAGUGGAUUUUGUUCUCACUCAAAGUAAGUUUUAAGCAGUAUCUUCAAAUCGCAUGAGUUUAAUGACACAAGCACUGUUUAAAGUAAGAGUGUUUUAUAUACUUUAAGAAGCACACUGACAUAAAAUAAAUCAAUGUAUAGUAUCAGUUUAUAGAGAGGGGCGAGAAAAGGCAGUAGAUUAGCUGCCAACAAGAAAUACCUAAAUUCUGGUGAAAAACUGCAUACAAGCUAAUAAUAGAUUUUUGUAGACGUGUAAACAUAAAUAAACAUAAAACAUUUGUCGACUGGGUAAAAUAUAAUAAAUCAAAUAAUAAUAAAAUCAGUUCACACUGCCGUCCACAUUUCACUCCAUAGUUAAAGCAUGGUGAAAUAAACGAUGGGCAUACACGUACUUGUGCAGGAUUUUAGCCUUUCCGUUAGGCGCGUGGGCCUGUGCACUGAACAAGGAUUGCUUCCGGUCGCGAGACCGACUUUCACGCCAGACCCUAAACACACCUGUGCUCACGAACGUGCGGUUGUUCUGAACACGGACACGUCUAAACACACCUGGCUGGUGCCUGUUCUGAACACUGGCGCGUUUAAACACACCGGACCGGUGCUGGACUUCGCAGUCGUCGGAAAAAAAUAUUUUAUUGUUCGCUGCUGGAGCAUAAAUAGUCUAAAGGAAAACGAAAUGUACUAAUUACGUGUGUCCUCGAGGACUAAACAACGUGGCGCCAAAACUGAAGCACUCAUCCAAACAUGUUGACCUCCGGGAAGUAGUUAAGCACCAAAACACGCCUUACUCCUGUUAUUCCAGUCAAGUGACAUGGCGUAGGCAUGGAGGCUUGAAGCCGCUCCCAAGUUUGGAGGGGAGAAAAUGACACAAGCUGAAUCCUGUGGGAGGAUGUGAGUUCCAGGUCUUUUUGAGGGAUGCUCUCUGUUCAGUCCUACUGUCCAGAGAACUGGAGAAGGUUCUAGACUCGACAAGGUCAGGAGUGCGCUCUGAGCUGCAGAGUGAAAUGGUGGAGCUGGGAAUGUCACAUUUUGGGAAGGCAGGGGCCUGGAUUAGGGGGGCGUGGACGCUGCGCUUCCCAGGCGAGGGCUGAGGCCUGAGAGCGGAGGCGGCGUUCGUAGCUCCCUGUCUUCCCUGCUGCAGAUGAAGCUUCUCUGCUGUUUUUUUUCCAGCGUGAUCCAUACGCAAGACAUCUCAGCCUCACUCGCUUUAAUUAGCCAGGAAAGGCUGUGUUUUGUCAGCAUCAAGUGGAGUCAUUCAAAACCUUAACACUGCCAGAAGGGGGGGAGGCUGGGAGAGCAGGGGGGGGGGUGUUCAGGGCACAUCUGAGAGGAGGAGGUGAGCAAAGAAAACAAAAUAAGUGAGGUCCAGACUAAACAGUGUCGGGGUCUGGGCCUGGCUGUGGAC